This 424-nucleotide ribosomal RNA is filed under the name uncultured bacterium. Its description in RNAcentral is "bacterial SSU rRNA". It matches the Rfam family "Bacterial small subunit ribosomal RNA", at positions 917 to 1344 of the family's 1533-position model. The record is from RNAcentral.
GGGCCCGCACAAGCGGUGGAGCAUGUGGUUUAAUUCGAUGAUACGCGAGGAACCUUACCAGGGCUUAAAUGUAAGUUGCAUGGAUCAGAGAUGAUCCUUUCUUCGGACCACUUACAAGGUGCUGCAUGGUUGUCGUCAGCUCGUGCCGUGAGGUGUCAGGUUAAGUCCUAUAACGAGCGCAACCCCUAUCGUUAGUUGCCAGCAAGUUAAGUUGGGUACUCUAGUGAGACUGCCGGUGCAAACCGAGAGGAAGGUGGGGAUGACGUCAAAUCAUCACGGCCCUUACGUCCUGGGCUACACACGUGCUACAAUGGCCGGUACAGAGAGCAGCCACCACGCGAGUGGGAGCGAAUCUUUAAAGCCGGUCUCAGUUCGGAUCGCAGUCUGCAACUCGACUGCGUGAAGCUGGAAUCGCUAGUAAUCG